RNAcentral lists this ribosomal RNA (229 nucleotides) under Salmonella enterica subsp. enterica serovar Infantis. RNAcentral describes it as "partial 23S ribosomal RNA". It matches the Rfam family "Bacterial large subunit ribosomal RNA", at positions 2086 to 2314 of the family's 2925-position model. RNAcentral also lists the same sequence under 22 other names. Lineage: Bacteria; Pseudomonadati; Pseudomonadota; Gammaproteobacteria; Enterobacterales; Enterobacteriaceae. The record is from RNAcentral.
AGACCCCGUGAACCUUUACUAUAGCUUGACACUGAACAUUGAGCCUUGAUGUGUAGGAUAGGUGGGAGGCUUUGAAGCGUGGACGCCAGUCUGCGUGGAGCCGACCUUGAAAUACCACCCUUUAAUGUUUGAUGUUCUAACGUGGACCCGUAAUCCGGGUUGCGGACAGUGUCUGGUGGGUAGUUUGACUGGGGCGGUCUCCUCCUAAAGAGUAACGGAGGAGCACGAA